This is a non-coding RNA of Rattus norvegicus (Norway rat), 1939 nucleotides long. The record is from RefSeq and is a predicted model, not a curated record. NCBI's taxonomy places the organism in Eukaryota, Metazoa, Chordata, Mammalia, Rodentia, Muridae.
UACCCCCACCGGUCAGAGUCAGGCCCUGCAGCUGAGUACCCAGCUGUGAGAGCUCCCGACGCAAGGCCAGCUCCCGGCCAUCGAGGCUCUGAUGCAGGCGCUGGCUGGCUGCCUGGCCCUCUUCACACUGCUGCCGCACCUCUUGCACCCGAAGGUCACACUCACUCUGGACACCUUGCAGCUUCUGCUCGAAGCCAUCCAGCAGGCUCCCCCAGAGUCGCUGCAGCCGCUGGUCCACGUACUCCUCCAGCAGUGCCAAGGAGGAUUUCACUCAGAGGAGGGAUGCGUGGUCCUCUGCCUCUGCCUUCUGGGUCCGCAAGCCCCUCAGGGAUGACCCCAAAGCCUACAGGCGCCGAACACCGCCCUCCAGCUGUUCUAGCUGCUCACCAAACAGUCCUGGGCCCUUUCUUCCUAAGGAGGAAGAAAGAGCCCAGGAGCAUCGAAGGCCUGGCCCUCCAACAUCUUAUUCUCAUCCCUGGACACAGCUCCCUCACCUUUAAGACGGAGUCUGGGUGAGGAUGGCUGGGGCUUUACAGUCACGGCCCACAGGAGAUGCCACACGGAACUCUAUGAGAGCUUAGCCAGCCUGCAUCCCUUACCCCAUCCCCACCCACCCUGCCACUAAACCCAUGGAACCCAACCCUCCCCAGAGGACAUCCAUGGACAGACUCACCACGGGGGUGCGGGGCCUCUCUGCUGUAAGGAGAAGGCCUGGGACCUGGGCCCAGUUGCCCCAAGGGAAUCUGAGGCUCUGGCUCCUGGUGUGGUGGGGUGGCUCCGUGGUCUUCGAGGUGUUCUGGGCAGCCUUCCCCAGUAAGACCAGGGCAGCAGCGCCAGGCCAGGUCUGUCACAGCCUUGUAACCGAUCUUGUAUCUGGGUCUGAACACUGUGCGGUACCUGGAUCAGUGAGGUCAAGGGAACAGUCUUGUACUCCUGUCCCCCGGUGCUGGUGCCCCAGACAAUCCUUGGAUGUCCCCACUCCUAGGAAUUUCCCUUUCUGACCCUUAAAGUGGCAAAACCGUGCCGUAGAGCAGGCCUUCCUUACAGAGGCUCUGAGCCCUGGUCUUGAAGGACACAUAGGGAAGUCCCACCAUACCGCUUGCUUCAAGAGAAAGCUAGCAGAGAUUUAACCCCAAUCUUCCCAAGACUACCAGGUCCCCAUCUGCCAAGAGAAAUUCCAUUCUGGCUCUAAUGGAGCCCCUCAGAAUCCUAGCAAAGCUUUCAGCUCUCGAUCUGUAGAAGAAAUAUCUCACCAGGGCUGGGCUGGCAGCCCCUUUCACUGCCACGGGAUACUCUCGGCCCUUGCUGGCUUCCUUUCCCUCUUACCACCCCUCUCGAGCUUAGUCAGGGAGCUGAACUCUGCUCAGAGGCUGGCGUGAGGGCACUUCUGAUUGUGAGCAGGAAGGGAAGGCCAAAGGAGCAGGCACAGCUCACCAGAAACACCUCCUUUACCUGAUCAGCCGUGUUCCUGUUCACUCACUGUCACAAUGGGACACGGGUCUGUUCUCAGACACACACAUUUAAACUCUCCAAAUGCAGACUCAACUAUAUCUUGUGUCCCGGGCGGCCUGUCUGAUCUAUACUAGAACCUCUGGCUUCCACCUUCUCCUGGUCCAGACCCCUGCAGGAUCAACCUUUCCUUUCUUUCCCUCUACUCUGUUUCUGUCAUCUUCUAGCCCAGCCUCCCUCUUGUAUCCCUGAGGUUUCUGGGCCCCAAACUAAGUCUGUUCUUGUCUCUAUGGGGGAGGAUCUGUUGCAAGUUCAAAAUUUGGGGGUCUUUCAUGGCCUCUUUCAGGGAUCCUGGUCUGCUCUAGCAAGCACUGUGGCUCAGAUAGGUCCUUUGAAGCCCGGGGUACUACAGCGCCUUUGCAGAAAUGGUUCUGUUCCCAGCUGAAGGCAACACCCUGGGAUGUACUCACCUGACUGUUGAGGGGCAGUU